GGCUACAUAGCUUGGGGGUCAGAACACUGGUCUUGUAAACCAUGGGUUGUGAGUUCAAAUUUCACUGGGACCU
This 73-nucleotide transfer RNA is filed under the name Mesocricetus auratus (golden hamster). It matches the Rfam family "tRNA". Rfam says of the family: Transfer RNA (tRNA) molecules are approximately 80 nucleotides in length. Their secondary structure includes four short double-helical elements and three loops (D, anti-codon, and T loops). Lineage: Eukaryota; Metazoa; Chordata; Mammalia; Rodentia; Cricetidae. The record is from Rfam by way of RNAcentral.